UACGUAGGGGGCGAGCGUUGUCCGGAUUUAUUGGGCGUAAAGGGCUCGUAGGCGGUUUGUCGCGUCGGGGGUGAAAACGCCGGGCUUAACUCGGUGCUUGCUUUCGAUACGGGCAGACUAGAGGCAUGCAGGGGAGAACGGAAUUCCUGGUGUAGCGGUGAAAUGCGCAGAUAUCAGGAGGAACACCGGUGGCGAAGGCGGUUCUCUGGGCAUGUCCUGACGCUGAGGAGCGAAAGUGUGGGGAGCGAACAGG
Molecule: ribosomal RNA, 253 nt
Filed under: uncultured bacterium
Lineage: Bacteria
Description: partial 16S ribosomal RNA
Rfam family: Bacterial small subunit ribosomal RNA
Source: RNAcentral